RNAcentral lists this transfer RNA (70 nucleotides) under Fusibacter tunisiensis. RNAcentral's name for it is "tRNA-Ile". It matches the Rfam family "transfer-messenger RNA", at positions 304 to 374 of the family's 374-position model. From Rfam's summary of the family: Bacterial tmRNA, also known as 10Sa RNA or SsrA, is named for its dual tRNA and mRNA-like properties. Its role is to liberate the mRNA from a stalled ribosome. Lineage: Bacteria; Bacillati; Bacillota; Clostridia; Eubacteriales; Fusibacteraceae. The record is from RNAcentral.
GUGACUGCGCUCGGAGAAAGUGAAAGUGAUUUAUUUUUGGACGCGGGUUCGAUUCCCGCCAUCUCCACCA